This 2484-nucleotide long non-coding RNA is filed under the name Citrus x clementina. Its description in RNAcentral is "Citrus clementina (C. clementina) long non-coding RNA (CCLE_LNC003821)". Lineage: Eukaryota; Viridiplantae; Streptophyta; Magnoliopsida; Sapindales; Rutaceae. The record is from RNAcentral.
UGGUAAUUAAUUAUUAAUACUAUGGGUAUUUUAGUAAAUUGAUUAUCAUUCUCAUUUCUCAUUCCUAUUUAUUUUGCCAAAUAAACACAUCAAUGGCAUUCCAAUAUAUUCACAUUCACAUUUAUUUUUGCCAAGUAAUUAUUCCAGCUCAUUCUCAUUCACAGUCCAUUCCCAUUCACAACCCAUUCACAUUCGACCACAUUCCUAUUUCAUGAAGUAAACGCACCUUUAAAGAAUAAGAGCCACAUUGAUUUUGAUAACUUAAUUGUUAAUAUCUGUAGUCUAAAGAAUCUAAAAAAUAUCCUAGCCUUUGUCUUCUUAUACAUUUUUGUCUCUUCCUUUUAUCAUUUUCGGUAAAUGAUCAUGUUAUUGACAUACAUCAUCAAUCUUUUGAAAAACACUUUAUGAUAUUAUUCUUUGAACUCUUGUUUUAAGUUAGGAAUGCGGCACCCAACUUUGACUAUACAAAAGUUAACGUUUUUUCAUAUCCAUGCGAGAGCCUUAAUUUGCAGCACAGGAAACUUCAAAUCUUCAGCCUUUCACACGUACACUUUUACUCGUAUUCUCCAGGGACGAGCUGUUGGCCAACCCAUAGAAAAUACACAACUUAUUCGUUAAUAUUAUUAUGGGAUCUUCCCUCACGCUUUGUUUUCAUGCAGGUUGGUGACAUAAAUAAACCUAACAUUUGCUAGCUGUUCGCAUUGUUAGUUUUCAUUAUUUCUCAACUUGCUUGUCCAAUUUAUGUUCUGAAUAUUCCGCCAGACUAAGUUGUCAAGGAGAGUUUCAAUUUGGUGUUCCUAAAACAUUACUCCUUUUGUAUUUAUUAUUUAUUUGAAUAUUAUCACAAUUGAUUGAAGUAUAUAGAUGUGAUAAGAAGUGAAUGGAAGAUGAGUAAUACUUUUGGUAUAGCCAAUUUCACUUUUUUUAAUAUUGUCUAUUAUUUGAAAGUGCAAAAUAUGUUUUCGGUAAAUUUAGAAGAACAUAUUGGAUGAUCAUGAGAUAAUACAUGAAAAAAAAAAAAGAAGCCCUCCUUAAAAAGUUACGAGCUUCGAGGCAAAAAUAGAAUUUUCUUUUCUAAAUUUUAAAGGUGAAAAUAAAUUAAAAUGUGCAUUAGGAGAAAAAUCAAGGGGCACGCUAUGUGUGGGCUAAGAGAAAACUACAUUAUAUAAUAAAAUCUCAAAAAAAAAAAAAAAAUUCCUGGGUGUUCUUAGAGCACGCGUCACAGUGCUGAAUUGGUGCUCCCACCCAUUAAUAGAUUGACUCGUAUUAUCAUGUUGUAAAACAAAUUUAAGUGUUAAAAUUUGGUUUAUUCAUCUAAGUUCUAAAUUUUAUAGUAAUUUCCAACCGUUUCUUUUUUGUAACUUAUAUUUUUCUUACCGACCUCCAGCUGGUCUUCAACAUCACAAAUGACCACAUUCCUAUAUUUCUCAUCAUUCAAGGCCUUUCUGCUGUAGAAAAAAUGCUAGAGCAUUUGCCUAUUUGGUAUAAUCACUUGCUGUAAGAUAACAAUUAAUGAAAUUUGUAAGUGUAAUUAUUAAAAUUUAAUAAAUUUGGGUUGAAAUUAUAUUGAUUCUAAUAGAGUCAUUUUUAAAAUUUAAUAAUUUUUCUUAUUUAAAAAGGUUAAUUCACGAGGUAAUUUUCAAACUAGAAAGUGUUAGUUUAAUGGUAGGGUUUAAUCUUUAUUUAAAAAAAAAAAGAAUGUUAGAGUUUAAUUUAAUAAUCCAAUGGCUUCACUUCUAGAUUUUGCUUUCUUUUUUAAUUUUACUUGAAAAAAAUUUAGUCCAACCACCCAGUCUAGCACUCCUGCAUACGGAUCACAUAUUUAGGAAGUGCUGCAUUGAAUUUUCUCUCUUUUAGAAGCACCCAGCUCAACUUCCAAGAAAGAAGGUGAAAAAAAAAAGAAGAAAAAAUUCCACUAAGUGGUCUUUAAAAUUCUUCUCUUUGGCCUUUAAAUGGAGGAAAAUUGCCUGUAGUCAUUCUCAAGUGGCGAAGUAUGAAAAUUGAAAAUACUCAUUGGAUCACCCCCACAUAUGCUGUGCAUUUAUGAAAAUUUUGUUACAUAUGAUGCACAAAUCAACUCUAUUUUCUUUAACCGGAUGGCUAUGUACUGUUAAUGAGGUGGUGAAUGGGGUGUGAUGGCAGCAUUUUUGUAAAUCUUAGGAUUUUCAUUUUCUCCGGUGUUAGAUACACGAUAAGCAGGGACACAGUAAAAAAAAAAAAAAAAUGUAAAAUGAUUUGAAUCUUUCAGGAUAAAUAUUGGGCUUUGUCGCACCGUGCCUGUUUAGGCCAAUACUUUCAAUUUCGGGCUGUACUUGUGAUUUACAAAUGAGUGAAGCUUUUAAUCUUUAUAACACCCAUUUUAUAUUUUAUUUCUUAAAAUAUUCUCCGUUUAAUUUAUAAAAUAUAAAUUCACAUGCUAAAAUUAAUCAUUUCCUACUAAAAAAGAAUUUACUUUAAAUCUUUAUUUAUAAAAUACAUGUAAAU